CGCUGGCGGCACGCUUUACACAUGCAAGUCGAACGGUAACAGGGAGCUUGCUCCGCUGACGAGUGGCGAACGGGUGAGUAAUAUAUCGGAACGUACCCAAGAGUGGGGGAUAACGUAGCGAAAGUUACGCUAAUACCGCAUACGAUCUAAGGAUGAAAGCAGGGGACCGCAAGGCCUUGUGCUCCUGGAGCGGCCGAUAUCUGAUUAGCUAGUUGGUGAGGUAAAGGCUCACCAAGGCAACGAUCAGUAGCUGGUCUGAGAGGACGACCAGCCACACUGGAACUGAGACACGGUCCAGACUCCUACGGGAGGCAGCAGUGGGGAAUUUUGGACAAUGGGGGCAACCCUGAUCCAGCAAUGCCGCGUGAGUGAAGAAGGCCUUCGGGUUGUAAAGCUCUUUUGUCAGGGAAGAAACGGGUGAGGCUAAUAUCUUCAUCUAAUGACGGUACCUGAAGAAUAAGCACCGGCU
RNAcentral lists this ribosomal RNA (469 nucleotides) under uncultured bacterium. RNAcentral's name for it is "bacterial SSU rRNA". It matches the Rfam family "Bacterial small subunit ribosomal RNA", at positions 34 to 498 of the family's 1533-position model. The record is from RNAcentral.